GAUGAACGCUGGCGGCGUGCCUAAUACAUGCAAGUCGAGCGAACAGACGAGGAGCUUGCUCCUCUGACGUUAGCGGCGGACGGGUGAGUAACACGUGGAUAACCUACCUAUAAGACUGGGAUAACUUCGGGAAACCGGAGCUAAUACCGGAUAAUAUAUUGAACCGCAUGGUUCAAUAGUGAAAGACGGUUUUGCUGUCACUGAUAGAUGGAUCGACGCCGCAUUAGUUAGUUGGUAAGGUAACGGCUUACCAAGGCAACGAUUCGUAGCCGACCUGAGAGGGUGAUCGGCCAAACUGGAACUGAGACACGGUCCAGAUUCCUACGGGAGGCAGCAGUAGGGACUCUUCCGCAAUGGGCGAAAGCUUGACGGAGCAACGCAGCGUGAGGGAUGAAGGUCUUCGGAUCGUAAAACUCUGUUAUUAGGGAAGAAAAAAUGUGUAAGUAACUAUGCACGCCUUGACGGUACCUAAUCAGAAAGCCACGGCUAACUACGUG
RNAcentral lists this ribosomal RNA (497 nucleotides) under uncultured bacterium. RNAcentral's name for it is "partial 16S ribosomal RNA". It matches the Rfam family "Bacterial small subunit ribosomal RNA", at positions 28 to 507 of the family's 1533-position model. The record is from RNAcentral.